GUUUAAUGGGAUAGCCUAAUUCUGGCAAAUAAUUGAUCUUUGACUAUUAGCAGUAAAUAUGCCCAAUGGCCUGUGAUGGGAUGUUAGAUGGUGUGGGGUCUGAGUUACUACAGAGAAUUCUUUCCUGGGUGUCUGGCAGAUGAGUCUUGCCUACAUGCUCAGGGUCUAGCUGACCACCAUAUUUGUGGUUGGGAAGCAAUUUUCCUCCAGGGCAUAUUGGCAGAGGCCCUGGGGUUAUUUUGCCUUCCUCUGCAGCAUGGGACACGGAUCAC
This is a non-coding RNA of Chelonoidis abingdonii (Abingdon island giant tortoise), 272 nucleotides long. Lineage: Eukaryota; Metazoa; Chordata; Testudines; Testudinidae. The record is from RefSeq and is a predicted model, not a curated record.